GAUGAACGCUGGCGGCGUGCUUAACACAUGCAAGUCGAACGGAAAGGCCCAAGCUUGCUUGGGUACUCGAGUGGCGAACGGGUGAGUAACACGUGGGUGAUCUGCCCUGCACUUCGGGAUAAGCCUGGGAAACUGGGUCUAAUACCGGAUAGGGCCACUUCUUGGAUGUUGUGGUGGAAAGUUUUUUCGGUGUGGGAUGAGCUCGCGGCCUAUCAGCUUGUUGGUGGGGUAAUGGCCUACCAAGGCGUCGACGGGUAGCCGGCCUGAGAGGGUGUACGGCCACAUUGGGACUGAGAUACGGCCCAGACUCCUACGGGAGGCAGCAGUGGGGAAUAUUGCACAAUGGGCGCAAGCCUGAUGCAGCGACGCCGCGUGGGGGAGGACGGCCUUCGGGUUGUAAACUCCUUUCGCUAGGGACGAAGCGUUUUGUGACGGUACCUGGAGAAGAAGCACCGGCUAACUACGUG
RNAcentral lists this ribosomal RNA (467 nucleotides) under uncultured bacterium. RNAcentral's name for it is "partial 16S ribosomal RNA". It matches the Rfam family "Bacterial small subunit ribosomal RNA", at positions 28 to 507 of the family's 1533-position model. The record is from RNAcentral.